GCGGUCAUAGCUCAGUUGGUUAGAGCACGGGAUUGUGGUUCCCGGGGUCGUCGGUUCGAAUCCGAUUGGCCGCC
RNAcentral lists this transfer RNA (74 nucleotides) under Bacteroidota bacterium. Its description in RNAcentral is "Bacteroidetes bacterium (hydrothermal vent metagenome) tRNA-His". It matches the Rfam family "tRNA". Rfam says of the family: Transfer RNA (tRNA) molecules are approximately 80 nucleotides in length. Their secondary structure includes four short double-helical elements and three loops (D, anti-codon, and T loops). RNAcentral also lists the same sequence under 1 other name. Lineage: Bacteria; Pseudomonadati; Bacteroidota. The record is from RNAcentral.